UAGGGAAUCUUCGGCAAUGGACGAAAGUCUGACCGAGCAACGCCGCGUGAGUGAAGAAGGUUUUCGGAUCGUAAAACUCUGUUGUUAGAGAAGAACAAGGACGUUAGUAACUGAACGUCCCCUGACGGUAUCUAACCAGAAAGCCACGGCUAACUACGUGCCAGCAGCCGCGGUAAUACGUAGGUGGCAAGCGUUGUCCGGAUUUAUUGGGCGUAAAGCGAGCGCAGGCGGUUUCUUAAGUCUGAUGUGAAAGCCCCCGGCUCAACCGGGGAGGGUCAUUUGAAACUGGGAGACUUGAGUGCAGAAGAGGAGAGUGGAAUUCCAUGUGUGGCGGUGAAAUGCGUAGAUAUAUGGAGGAACACCAGUGGCGAAGGCGGCGCUCUGGUCUGUAACUGACGCUGAGGCUCGAAAGCGUGGGGAGCAAACAGG
This 429-nucleotide ribosomal RNA is filed under the name Gemmatimonadota bacterium. RNAcentral describes it as "Gemmatimonadetes bacterium partial 16S ribosomal RNA". It matches the Rfam family "Bacterial small subunit ribosomal RNA", at positions 355 to 776 of the family's 1533-position model. The record is from RNAcentral. Lineage: Bacteria; Pseudomonadati; Gemmatimonadota.